GAUCACUGCUAUUGGGAUUCGACUAAGCCAUGCGAGUCGAGAGGGUUCGGCCCUCGGCGAACUACUCAGUAACACGUGGAUAAUUUGCCCUUAGGUGGAGGAUAACCUCGGGAAACUGAGAAUAAUACUCCAUAGAUCUAGGAUGCUGGAAUGCACUUAGAUUGAAAGUUCCGGCGCCUAAGGAUAAGUCUGCGGACUAUCAGGUUGUAGUCAGGGUAAAGACCUGACUAGCCUACAACGGAUACGGGUUGUGAGAGCAAUAACCCGGAGACGAUAUCUGAGACACGAUAUCGGGCCCUACGGGGCGCAGCAGGCGCGAAACCUUCACAAUGUGCGAAAGCGCGAUGAGGGGAUCCCAAGUGCUUGCUCGUAAGAGUAAGCUGUUUUUAUGUCUAAAAAGCAUAGAGAGUAAGGGCUGGGUAAGACGGGUGCCAGCCGCCGCGGUAAUACCUGCAGCUCAAGUAGUGAUCGCUAUAUUGGGCCUAAAACGUUCGUAGCCGGUUUGGUAAAUGCCUGGGUAAAUAGUGUAGCUUAACUACACGAAUUCCGGGUAGACUGCCAAACUUGAGACCGGGAGAGGCUAGAGGUACUCCUGGGGUAGAGGUGAAAUUCUGUAAUCCUGAGGGGACCACCAGUGGCGAAGGCGUCUAGCUAGAACGGUCUGACGGUGAGGAACGAAGCCCUGGGUCGCGAACCGGAUUAGAUACCCGGGUAGUCCAGGGUGUAAACGCUGCUUGCUUGAUGUUAGUUGGGCUCCGAGCCCGAUUAGUGUCGGAGAGAAGUUGUUAAGCAAGCUGCCUGGGAAGUACGAUCGCAAGAUUGAAACUUAAAGGAAUUGGCGGGGGAGCACAGCAACGGGUGGAGCGUGCGGUUUA
This 875-nucleotide ribosomal RNA is filed under the name uncultured euryarchaeote. RNAcentral's name for it is "bacterial SSU rRNA". It matches the Rfam family "Archaeal small subunit ribosomal RNA", at positions 21 to 904 of the family's 1478-position model. Lineage: Archaea; Methanobacteriati; Methanobacteriota. The record is from RNAcentral.